RNAcentral lists this small RNA (132 nucleotides) under Escherichia coli. RNAcentral's name for it is "RtT sRNA". It matches the Rfam family "RtT RNA". Rfam says of the family: This family represents a bacterial cis-regulatory element known as RtT RNA. The exact function of RtT is unknown although it is thought that it may be involved in changing the cellular response in relation to amino acid starvation. The record is from RNAcentral. Lineage: Bacteria; Pseudomonadati; Pseudomonadota; Gammaproteobacteria; Enterobacterales; Enterobacteriaceae.
AUUCUGCCCAAGCGGGGAAGGAUGAGAAGCUUCGACUAAGGUUCGGCUCGAGCGCCAGCGAGAGAGCGUUGCCGCAGGCAACGACCCGAAGGGCGAAGCGCGCAGCGCUGAGUAAUCCUUCCCCCACCACCA